RNAcentral lists this non-coding RNA (27 nucleotides) under Mus musculus (house mouse). The record is from RNAcentral. Lineage: Eukaryota; Metazoa; Chordata; Mammalia; Rodentia; Muridae.
UGGGCCAAUGAUUUCGGAGUACCCUGG